ACAUGCAAGUCGAACGGCAGCACGGGGGCAACCCUGGUGGCGAGUGGCGAACGGGUGAGUAAUACAUCGGAACGUGUCCUGUAGUGGGGGAUAGCCCGGCGAAAGCCGGAUUAAUACCGCAUACGACCUGAGGGAGAAAGCGGGGGAUCUUCGGACCUCGCGCUAUAGGGGCGGCCGAUGGCAGAUUAGCUAGUUGGUGGGGUAAAGGCCUACCAAGGCGACGAUCUGUAGCUGGUCUGAGAGGACGACCAGCCACACUGGGACUGAGACACGGCCCAGACUCCUACGGGAGGCAGCAGUGGGGAAUUUUGGACAAUGGGGGCAACCCUGAUCCAGCAAUGCCGCCGUGUGUGAAGAAGGCCUUCGGGUUGUAAAGCACUUUUGUCCGGAAAGAAAACUUCGUCCCUAAUUGGAUGGAGGAUGACGGUACCGGAAGAAUAAGCACCGGCUAACUACGUGCCAG
This 463-nucleotide ribosomal RNA is filed under the name Burkholderia sp. RzW32. Its description in RNAcentral is "bacterial SSU rRNA". It matches the Rfam family "Bacterial small subunit ribosomal RNA", at positions 53 to 511 of the family's 1533-position model. The record is from RNAcentral. Lineage: Bacteria; Pseudomonadati; Pseudomonadota; Betaproteobacteria; Burkholderiales; Burkholderiaceae.